This 446-nucleotide ribosomal RNA is filed under the name uncultured bacterium. RNAcentral describes it as "bacterial SSU rRNA". It matches the Rfam family "Bacterial small subunit ribosomal RNA", at positions 330 to 793 of the family's 1533-position model. The record is from RNAcentral.
GCCAGACUCCUACGGGAGGCAGCAGUGGGGAAUAUUGGACAAUGGGGGGAACCCUGAUCCAGCGACGCCGCGUGAGUGAAGAAGUAUUUCGGUAUGUAAAGCUCUAUCAGCAGGGAAGAAAAUGACGGUACCUGACUAAGAAGCCCCGGCUAACUACGUGCCAGCAGCCGCGGUAAUACGUAAGGGGCAAGCGUUAUCCGGAUUCACUGGGUGUAAAGGGAGCGUAGGCGGGACGGCAAGUCAGAUGUGAAAACUGAGGGCUCAACCUUCAGACUGCAUUUGAAACUGCUGUUCUUGAGUGAAGUAGAGGUAAGCGGAAUUCCUAGUGUAGCGGUGAAAUGCGUAUAUAUUAGGAGGAACAUCGGUGGCGAAGGCGGCUUACUGGGCUUUUACUGACGCUGAGGCUCGAAAGCGUGGGGAGCAAACAGGAUUAGAUACCCCCGUAU